UCGGGCCUGACUGCAGUCGCCCGGCUUUUUCCAAGGCAUUUCGCCCAAGUACUGC
RNAcentral lists this non-coding RNA (55 nucleotides) under unclassified sequences. RNAcentral describes it as "chromate-resist RNA". It matches the Rfam family "chrB-b RNA". The record is from RNAcentral.